AGUGAACGCUGGCGGUAGGCCUAACACAUGCAAGUCGAACGGCAGCACAGUAAGAGCUUGCUCUUACGGGUGGCGAGUGGCGGACGGGUGAGGAAUACAUCGGAAUCUACUUUUUCGUGGGGGAUAACGUAGGGAAACUUACGCUAAUACCGCAUACGACCUACGGGUGAAAGCAGGGGAUCUUCGGACCUUGCGCGAUUGAAUGAGCCGAUGUCGGAUUAGCUAGUUGGCGGGGUAAAGGCCCACCAAGGCGACGAUCCGUAGCUGGUCUGAGAGGAUGAUCAGCCACCCUGGAACUGAGACACGGUCCAGCCUCCUACGGGAGGCAGCAGUGGGGAAUAUUGGCCAAUGGGCGCAAGCCUGAUCCAGCCAUACCGCGUGGGUGAAGAAGGCCUUCGGGUUGUAAGCCCUUUUGUUGGGAAAGAAAAGCAGCAGGUUAAUACCCCGCUGUUCUGACGGUACCCAAAGAAUAAGCACCGGCUAACUUCGUG
This 491-nucleotide ribosomal RNA is filed under the name uncultured bacterium. RNAcentral's name for it is "partial 16S ribosomal RNA". It matches the Rfam family "Bacterial small subunit ribosomal RNA", at positions 29 to 507 of the family's 1533-position model. The record is from RNAcentral.